This 564-nucleotide long non-coding RNA is filed under the name Apteryx rowi (Okarito brown kiwi). RNAcentral's name for it is "lncRNA (ENSARWG00000014955.1)". Lineage: Eukaryota; Metazoa; Chordata; Aves; Apterygiformes; Apterygidae. The record is from RNAcentral.
GAUGUCUGCAACAAUUGUCAUCUAAUAUUUUUUCUAAGAGCUAUUGUUUUAGACUACUUCAGAUCCCUGAAACUGACAGAGGAGGGGAACUGGAAUCUUGGAGCUGGAAAGUCACCUGAUGCCUGAACAUGCCUCAGGCACAGCAGUGAGGCAUGGGUGGAGAUGCCACUAAGUUAAGACUCUCUCUCUCAGCAAUUCAGACUGACUCAUCAUUCCUUAAGUCAUCAGAGAACUGGAAAAUUCGGCAGUGGAAGAGGAGCAUUUACAGCUCCUGAGAGGAAACUUCUGAGAGUGCCAAAUCCAGUCAGGCCUCCAUAUGAUUGACAAGGAUGCCAUCGCCACCAAAGAGAAGUGCAAGACCUGGCAUGAUCACUCAGCAGAGGUGCUCAGAGACACCCAGAGAGUCAAUGGUGCUUGGUUCAGGAAGAGAUGGGGGAGAAGUGAAUACUCUUUAUUUUAUAGUGGCAGACGCUAGGUUUUGUGCCACCUGCAAGUAGAAGGCACAGGAGUAUGGUGAGGUCUGUAAUACUYGUGGUGGGUCUGGAUGAAAGCAGUGGCCCGUUA